GAUGAACGCUGGCGGCGUGCCUAAUACAUGCAAGUCGAGCGAAUGGAUUAAGAGCUUGCUCUUAUGAAGUUAGCGGCGGACGGGUGAGUAACACGUGGGUAACCUGCCCAUAAGACUAGGAUAACUCCGGGAAACCGGGGCAAAUACCGGAGAACAUUUUGAAACGCAUGGUUCGAAAUUGAAAGACGGCUUCUGCUGCAACUUAUGGAUGGCCCCGCGUCGCAUUAGCGAGUUGGUGAGGUAACGGCUCACCAAGGCAACGAGGCGUAGCCGACCGGAGGGGGUGAUCGGCCACACUGGGACUGAGACACGGCCCAGACUCCUACGGGAGGCAGCAGUAGGGAAUCUUCCGCAAUGGACGAAAGUCUGACGGAGCAACGCCGCGUGAGUGAUGAAGGCUUUCGGGUCGUAAAACUCUGUUGUUAGGGAAGAACAAGUGCUAGUUGAAUAAGCUGGCACCUUGACGGUACCUAACCAGAAAGCCACGGCUAACUACGUGCCAGCCGCCGCAGUAA
RNAcentral lists this ribosomal RNA (515 nucleotides) under uncultured bacterium. RNAcentral describes it as "partial 16S ribosomal RNA". It matches the Rfam family "Bacterial small subunit ribosomal RNA", at positions 28 to 523 of the family's 1533-position model. The record is from RNAcentral.